UAUACAUAGAGGAUACACGCGUGGCCACGGUUAGUUUCUUUUCGCCAGAGUGUCGCCGCUCGAGAGAUGCAUAAAUGUAUAUAUGUACACGUACAUAUAUACACGUGGAAAGAAACGGCAAAGAGAGGGAGAGAAAAAGAGAAAGAGAAGAACAGGGGUUAAACGGAAAGAACUCGUGUCGUCCGCUCGUGUGAUACCUCGAUCGCGGUGGGUGUCGCGAAUGACUAUGCUCUGUCCAAAAGGUGUGCGAGAGUACGCCGCGCGUGUGGGUGCUUCCCCUACCACAGCGCCACCACCACUAUCGCGAUUUCCACCACCAUCGCGCCAGGCUCUCGGCACCACCACCACGGAACCAGUGUGCACCACUGAACGCGGCGGGUAUACACCGGUAUCAGAGAGUGGCAAAUUUUUUCUCAUACUAGCUGAAACAGCUACACGACCUUUGAUUUACGUUCGUUCUUAAUACAUACUGAUGACUAUUUUAUGCACCAACAACGGAAUACGACAGACCUGGACACGGAUUUGACGUGCGAGGCUUCAUAAAAAAAUGACACAUUACGACUUAAUGAUCUAACGCGAUGGAAACGGAGGGCAUAGAAUGCCGUGAUUAUUUUGCGAAAGUGUUCAGCAAGAAAGAGGAAUUCCCAGAUAAAGAGAUAAGUAUCCAUGGGAAUACAUCAAUGAGCCGAGCGUAAUGUCGUGAAUGGAGGCGCGAUCGUGGUGGUUUCCAUUCGGUUCUCGUUGAUUCAUGACACGCGUUGAAAUGACGUAGACGUUAAAUGCGUUCGACGCGCGUACGAUGCAAAUCCGCACGUACACUCGUCGCAUACGUAAAAAAGCUGCUAGUUACACAUAAUCUAUAUCUACGAAUCUUACGAAUCAAUCAGCAAAGUGUAAUUCGCGAUUUAUUUCAGUGUCAUCCCUUGCGGGCACGUCUUACGUUCUCCUUCCCAAAAAUUACAACACGAGGCAUACCACGAUUCGAUGUGUUGCUCCCCCCGAAUCUCGCUCGAAAUCUAAAAAUAGAAUGGCGAAGGGUGUUCUCGAAAGGAAUACGGUUUCUUUUUCGUCCUUUAUUCGGCAGUUCGAACACCAAAGAUCGACCGGAUACAGAUUCGAAACCACCGGCAAGAACGGAGAGAAACGAAAGGAAAAAAAGAAACGAAGGGGGGAGAAAGAGGAAGGAGAAGAAAAGAUUCACGGAGGAGUGUUGUAUUCUCCACCUCGCCGGGUCUUGUGUUCCACCGACGGGACCAGCAGCGGCAAACUCGUUACGAAAUAGUCCCUAAGACGGGGUGACUAAUUGCUAAGCGGCUUGUAAAAAUUCGCAGGACAGUCUGUCGACAUCGUGGCGCGGCCGUCUCAUCGUCGCGCCGUUAUACUUUUUGCCCAUGCACGGUCGACUAGAGAAGAGAACGACUUGCAAGAGGGAGAGAGAUCGAGCGAUGGGGAAAAGUGGUGGGAACGACAAAGAUAGAGAGGGAGCUGCGGUGACGACGGAACGCGAAAGGGGUGUGGUGGGGGGAGGGGCGCGCAAUGGGAGUGGUAGGGGGAACCGGCGAGAGAAGCGUGAGCGUGUGAGGCCUUAAGGUGAGAAAAGAAAAAUGGCGAAGAGAGGCCGAGGCUGCGUCGUCUCGCGUUCGAAGGCGAGAGGGGACGACGCUUUCGCAGAUUCCACGUGAGAUACCUGCGGCAUUCUUCGUUCUGCAGCAGGGCAUUAAGCCGGAUGCACAUUCGUCGUGGACGACGCUCGGUGAAUUCAUUUCCAGGAAAAAUAUCUUCCGCCACGAAACGAAUUUUACGGCAGAUUUUGUUCGCGGACAGACCGCCGGAGAGCGGUUUCUUUCUUUCUCUCCCCUGUACUAUUUUUCUCCUUCUAUCCUUGUUCCUCUUGAUGCGUGAAACGGAGGACAUGGAGACGCAUGAUGUUUUUAUUAUUAUUUUUCUUGUCGUUUUUCGUGGACCGCCUCGGAACCGAGCUCCGGCAAUAAAACAUCUAAUCCGACGAUAAACCGCGCAGUGAUUCUUCCCCGCGACGACGUUUACGCGUCUCUGACACGUUUCGUGCGCGCCGCUGAUGCGCACCGAAUCGAAGGUAAUCCCUCGCGCGCUUGCAUCUCUCGCGUCUGAUUGGUUGACAAUUGACUUCGGACCAUGAGAUGGUUAAGGAAAAGCUUGCGAUUCAUACGGUCGCCUUUAUUUCUUCAUUUUCUAAUUUCUUUAUUUGUAUUACAGAAACAAAAGACAUUAAAAAAAAAUAGAGACAAUAGAAAAAUUGAAAUAUGGAACAUAGAAAAAUUUGUAAUCUUCGCAUUUUCAAAGAUAUGUAUAAAAAAGGAUGUUUUAAGAAAAUCAUUAUGUGAUACAAGGAAGGAUUGUGAAACUCGCAAAGAAUUUCCUAUUUUGCAAAUAAUUAUCGAAGAUGAUUCACGAAGAAUCGUGUCAUUGUCAACAAGAAUACUCGAGCUGAUUACAUCAUACACGCAUACGAAUUAAUUUUGCAGCUCUCCAUUAUAUCUUGAAUGUUUUUCGGUAGCCACUUUGUUAAAUAGACACAUCGACUUCGACCCUGAUACGAUCCUCGAAAUAAAGCCGUAAGGUGCAACUAAGACUAUAAAGAUUUAUAUUCGUCAUCUUUACAUCUAAUCUAAUACACUGAUACCUGCAUUAAAACCAAAAAGUGCAACAUUUAACCUAACCUAUCAAAACUUUUAUUACUUUUUUCUAUCUCUACUAUUUCAUUCAUGAUUUACCGUAAAAAUUGUUCAUUUUAAAAUCGAAAGACAACAAGAAAGAUACGAAGAAAGUUUUUGCCAGUAUCAGCGAAGAAAUUUAACUGUACGAUGGAAUAAAAAUAGUGCGAAUUGAAAUUCCGAUCGAGGUGCAGUCGAAGAUCAAAACCACAGAUAGCGAGCAGAAAAGACAGGCGAUGCUGGAGUGCCAGUGGCGCACAAAAGGACACGAAAUGAUUUAUUUCAAUGCCCUAUCGUGGCCGGCUGAAGCGUAUCGCCCACGGUGGCGUUCGAGAGAGGAUCAUUUGCGCGGGACCACACGCCGAAUGAAACAAGAAGAGGUUCAAUUACUUCGUGGAAUCAUCGAAGAUUCCUUUGCGGCGUUUCGAAUUCUGGAUUUGUCAAAUUUUUAGAAAUUAGAAAAUGAAAGAGCAAUUAAAAAAGACAAGUGGGCCAGUAUUAUAGGAAAAGUGAUCAUAGGGUUCAUAAAACAGAUAAAUAUGGAGACGGUACAAGACAAAAACGCGUAUUAAAGAUAGAAGAGAUAAAAGAAACGAUGAGAAAGAGAUACAGAAAUAAAAUGAUAAAGAAAAAGAAAAAAGAUGAGAGGAUGAUAAAUGAGAUCGAAACUGAAGAAGAUGAUAAAAAAAUGAUAAGAUCCACAGAUACAGAAUUGACGGAGUGUGGAAAAAAGAUGAACAACGAUGGAGAAAAAGAACAGACGAAAAUGAUGAAUAUGGGAAGAGAAAAGAAACAGAAAAUAAGAUAGAAAAAAGAUGGAAGAAAGAGAAAAAUAGAUAGGUGUAAAAGGAUCACCUGACCGACAACUAUUCACAGCAUAUGGCUAUGACAAAUCUAAUAGAUUCCUUGGCGACUUCGGGCGGCCCAUAAGAAGAGCCACAAGAUGCAACGAGAACAAGAAAAAGGAAUGAACGUAUAAGAGAGAAGAGUAUUUCUAUUCAACGCUCGAUGAACGGAUGUAACGCUUCGUAGUUCGUAGACCCUUCUACUGUCUGUUCUAACAAUGAUAUCCCUUUUCGUAGCCGGGUACAGAGGAGGACCGAGAAAUAAGGUUAAGUCCUGCCAGUGCUCACCUAUAACGCGCUGGAGACACACAAUGCUCAUUGUCAACUUGUCGUGGAAUGUGGGGAUCGAGGUAUGUAUUGUCGACGCACGCCAAAUGUAGAUCCCUCUUUUCGACUGGUAACAACAUUCACGCUGAGCACUAUUUGAUCCUUUCCUCUUUUGCCACUGUUAUGGCUUAUCUUUUUCUGUUGUGCAUAGGUUAUAUCAAUGCACAUCUUUGAAAGUAAAAAUGUUGGUGAGUAUGAUAAACAAAUUAAUUUUGAUAGAUUUUUUGUAGAUUUUAUAGAUUAUAGCAUCAUGAAUCAUAGAAGUACUUUUAUGGAUUAUAUUUGUAACUAUACUACUGGACUUCGCAAUUACUUUCCAUUUUUGAAGAGUGUCAUAAGAAGGUUGAAACAAAUGGAAAGAAUUAGUUUUACAAAAUUUUGGAAUUGUUCAAGAGAGUAAAAUAAUGGUAAUAGUAAUGGUAAACUAGUUACCAAAAUAUCAAAUUCAUCAGGUUUGCCAAGUUAAAGGUAUAUGUUGAAAGAGAAAGCUCUAAAUAUUCAAUAUUAGAGUAAAUAUCCAAAAGGGUGCAUAAUAUUAAUAGACAAAGUUUCAUGACAUCGAUAAGGAGUCUUCACAAAAUGCAUGAGGCGAAAUUAAUGUGACAUUAAUACUCUUGCGCCUUUGCUGAAGGCUCAGUAGGCGAGCCAGAUUAGCUACACUAUCGAUAUUUUAUUGGACACUGACUGAGAAGUAUAAAACACCAUUUAGAUUCAAUAGAUUCUAUGUACACGAGAAGCAAUGCACGUUUGUACAUCGAAUAAAAUGUUUCUAUGAGAUUA
Bombus pyrosoma is the source of this 4645-nucleotide long non-coding RNA. RefSeq lists it as uncharacterized. The transcript is spliced from 2 exons. Lineage: Eukaryota; Metazoa; Arthropoda; Insecta; Hymenoptera; Apidae. The record is from RefSeq and is a predicted model, not a curated record.